AACGAACGCUGGCGGCAGGCUUAACACAUGCAAGUCGAACGCCCCGCAAGGGGAGUGGCAGACGGGUGAGUAACACGUGGGAACAUGCCCAAAGGUACGGAAUAUUCUCGGGAAACUGAGAGCAAUACCGUAUGUGCCCGAAAGGGGAAAGAUUUAUCGCCUUUGGAUUGGCCCGCGUCGGAUUAGCUAGUUGGUGGGGUAAAAGCCUACCAAGGCGACGAUCCGUAGCUGGUCUGAGAGGACGACCAGCCACACUGGGACUGAGACACGGCCCAGACUCCUACGGGAGGCAGCAGUGGGGAUUCUUGGACAAUGGGCGCAAGCCUGAUCCAGCCAUGCCGCGUGGAUGAUGAAGGCCCUAGGGUUGUAAAAUCCUUUCGUUGGGGACGAUAAUGACGGUACCCAAAGAAGAAGCUCCGGCUAACUUCGUG
Molecule: ribosomal RNA, 431 nt
Filed under: uncultured bacterium
Lineage: Bacteria
Description: partial 16S ribosomal RNA
Rfam family: Bacterial small subunit ribosomal RNA
Source: RNAcentral